CCUACGGGAGGCAGCAGUGAGGAAUAUUGGUCAAUGGGCUUACACCUGAACCAGCCAAGUCGCGUGAGGGAAGACUGCCCUAUGGGUUGUAAACCUCUUUUGUCAGGGAGCAAUUGGCGCUACGUGUAGCGUUAUCGAGAGUACCUGAAGAAAAAGCAUCGGCUAACUCCGUGCCAGCAGCCGCGGUAAUACGGAGGAUGCGAGCGUUAUCCGGAUUUAUUGGGUUUAAAGGGUGCGUAGGCGGAAUGCCAAGUCAGCGGUAAAAUCGCGGGGCUCAACCUCGCUCCGCCGUUGAAACUGGCGUGCUUGAGUGGGCGAGAAGUAUGCGGAAUGCGUGGUGUAGCGGUGAAAUGCAUAGAUAUCACGCAGAACUCCGAUUGCGAAGGCAGCAUACCGGCGCCCAACUGACGCUGAAGCACGAAAGCGUGGGUAUCGAACAGGAUUAGAUACCCCUGUAGUC
RNAcentral lists this ribosomal RNA (460 nucleotides) under uncultured bacterium. RNAcentral's name for it is "partial 16S ribosomal RNA". It matches the Rfam family "Bacterial small subunit ribosomal RNA", at positions 338 to 795 of the family's 1533-position model. The record is from RNAcentral.